UAAGUUAUUAAGGGCGCACGGUGGAUGCCUUGGCACUAGAAGCCGAUGAAGGACGUUACUAACGACGAUAUGCUUUGGGGAGCUGUAAGUAAGCUUUGAUCCAGAGAUUUCCGAAUGGGGAAACCCAGCAUGAGUUAUGUCAUGUUAUCGAUAUGUGAAUACAUAGCAUAUCAGAAGGCACACCCGGAGAACUGAAACAUCUUAGUACCCGGAGGAAGAGAAAGAAAAUUCGAUUCCCUUAGUAGCGGCGAGCGAAACGGGAAGAGCCCAAACCAACAAGCUUGCUUGUUGGGGUUGUAGGACACUCUAUACGGAGUUACAAAGGACGACAUUAGACGAAUCAUCUGGAAAGAUGA
This 356-nucleotide ribosomal RNA is filed under the name Staphylococcus aureus. RNAcentral describes it as "bacterial LSU rRNA". It matches the Rfam family "Bacterial large subunit ribosomal RNA", at positions 4 to 353 of the family's 2925-position model. The record is from RNAcentral. Lineage: Bacteria; Bacillati; Bacillota; Bacilli; Caryophanales; Staphylococcaceae.